GACGAACGCUGGCGGCGUGCUUAACACAUGCAAGUCGAACGAAGUGGCGAACGGGUGAGGAAUACGGGAGUAACCUGCCGUCCUUUUUGGGAUAAGCCUGGGAAACGGGGUCUAAUACCGGAUAAAGGGGGAUGGGCUCGCGGCCUAUCGGCUUGUUGGUGGGGUAAUGGCGUACCAAGGCGGUGGCGGGUCGCCGGCCUGAGAGGGUGAACGGCCACAUGGGGACGGCGAUACGGCCCAGGGUAGGAAGGGGGGGGGAAGUGGGGGAUAGGGCACAAUGGGGGAAAGACUAAUGCCGCGUCGCCGAGGGGGGGAUGAAGGUUUUCAGGUUGUAAUGCUCUUUCGGUAUCGAACGGGUAUGUGGAGAAGAAGCGCCGGCUAACUACGUGCCAGCAGCCGCGGUAAUUC
RNAcentral lists this ribosomal RNA (408 nucleotides) under uncultured bacterium. Its description in RNAcentral is "partial 16S ribosomal RNA". It matches the Rfam family "Bacterial small subunit ribosomal RNA", at positions 28 to 526 of the family's 1533-position model. The record is from RNAcentral.